This is a long non-coding RNA of Suricata suricatta (meerkat), 325 nucleotides long. RefSeq lists it as uncharacterized. The transcript has 3 exons. NCBI's taxonomy places the organism in Eukaryota, Metazoa, Chordata, Mammalia, Carnivora, Herpestidae. The record is from RefSeq and is a predicted model, not a curated record.
CAAGGCCUUGCAGUAAAAUCCUGCUGGCCUGGUACAUGGUACAGGUCUGCUUAAAAGGUCUGCUUGGCCGGAAUCCCACGUGAACUUAUGGGACCCUCACGAUCACUUUUGGAGGUGACACGCACAGAGAAGGACACCAUGCCACUUCUGUGACGGUCCUGACGGAAAUGCAGGACCUACGUCUGAUCAGGAGAAGCCGUCGGAUAAACUCCAACUGAGGAAACUUCUACGAAGUAACGGGGCUAUAAUCUUGAACGCCCGUGGGAUUCAGCCGUGUCGCGUCGAUCAGAAGUCUGCUCCUUUCCAUUGCUAAGUCGUAUUCCAC